GUGAGGAAUAUUGGUCAAUGGACGGAAGUCUGAACCAGCCAUGCCGCGUGCAGGAAUAAGGUCCUAUGGAUUGUAAACUGCUUUUAUUCGGGAAUAAACCUCUUUACGUGUAGGGAGCUGAAGGUACCGAAGGAAUAAGCACCGGCUAACUCCGUGCCAGCAGCCGCGGUAAUACGGAGGGUGCAAGCGUUAUCCGGAAUCAUUGGGUUUAAAGGGUCCGCAGGCGGGCUAUCAAGUCAGAGGUGAAAUCCCACAGCUUAACUGUGGAACUGCCUUUGAAACUGAUGGUCUUGAAUUAAGUGGGCGUUGGCGGAAUAUGACAUGUAGCGGUGAAAUGCAUAGAUAUGUCAUGGAACACCGAAAGCGAGGGCAGCUAACGAUACUUAUAUUGACGCUCAUGGACGAAAGCGUGGGUAGCGAACAGGAUUAGAUACCCGAGUAGUCC
Molecule: ribosomal RNA, 445 nt
Filed under: uncultured bacterium
Lineage: Bacteria
Description: partial 16S ribosomal RNA
Rfam family: Bacterial small subunit ribosomal RNA
Source: RNAcentral